CCCACCUCUUACGAGGUGGGCUAUUUUCUUGCGUGCCUUCGGGACU
Molecule: non-coding RNA, 46 nt
Filed under: Candidatus Koribacter versatilis Ellin345
Lineage: Bacteria; Pseudomonadati; Acidobacteriota; Terriglobia; Terriglobales; Candidatus Korobacteraceae
Description: Acido-Lenti-1 RNA
Rfam family: Acido-Lenti-1 RNA
Source: Rfam by way of RNAcentral